This 1224-nucleotide long non-coding RNA is filed under the name Carica papaya (papaya). RNAcentral's name for it is "long non-coding RNA (CPAP_LNC014185)". Lineage: Eukaryota; Viridiplantae; Streptophyta; Magnoliopsida; Brassicales; Caricaceae. The record is from RNAcentral.
UAAUAAUCUUUAAAACUGAGAAGAUAAUUAAGAUAAUAAAUCAAACAACCAUAGUUAAAUUACAAUAAGAUUUCACUAAUUACAAGUAUAAAGAGAGAAUUCUAAUUUUUUGCUCUUCCACAGUCUCCUCCAACUCAAUGUCAUUCAACCUCGUAUAUUUAUUUACCCUUUAAAAUUGUCUCUUGCCUUGCCAAUCAUGGGUAAUCCAGUUGGUUCCUUAUUCUUGAACCUUUCCACAAUUUUGUAAUUCAUUCACUCUGUGUUCCCAUUUUACUCUCUCAUAUUUGGCGGCAAACACAUUAGUAACUACUUUACUUCCCAAAUUCUUGUUUCUUUCUUUAAACCCUUCUAUUUUUUUAUCCUUUUUUUAGAAUUCAACCAUUUUUUUGAGUCCAUUUCCUCCAUCCUUUUUGGUUUUCAUGUUCUCUAAAAUAUCCCUAAAAACUGAAAUCAACUUCAAUACUAUUGAUAAACUAUAAUGAUAUAAAGGAGUAUAUGAGAAAAUUGAAGAGAAAAUAUAACACAAACAGAGAAAAAUAGAAGAGAAGUAAUUAUGGUUUUCAUUCGUGAUAUACUACUACUAGUUUAAUAAGCCAUUUAUUUAUACCCAAUCUAAGAUUAACGUAUAUUAGUUUUCAACAAAUAUUAUGAAGUCAUGAUAUUCUUUAAUAAUUUCUUGUAGAAUAAGUUGGAAGGCGUAUGAGGAUUCCACUUAGUCACUUCAUUAACAAAAAACAUCAAUAUGGGUAAUGCACGAAGAUAAUCAACAUGAGUUGGUUCAAGAAGAAGAUGGGGAAUAAGUGUUUCAUUAUUCUUUUCUCCCUAAAUAGGCAUAGGCAUACAUCAUUCAUUUCAAAUAGUAAAAGGUCUGCAUGUUUUACAUGGUCUAUAUUAUUAUUUCACAAAAAUAAGAAGAGAAAUUUUAUGCACCGUUGGCGUCCGGCAAUGCAAGAGAAGGACGGAAAGCAGCAGACAAACAGCGAUAGGAUAAGGAAGCCGCCGCCUUGUCUUCUUCUCAUUUUUCAUUUCCCCAUAAAAACAUCUUCUUAAUUUUCUCUUUUCUCUCUUUACUACCUUUUUUUUUUUUUUUUUUUAAUUUCACACCUAAAUUUACUUGAACCUCAAAUCAUGAGUCAAUCUUUCUGUUUAUUUAGCCUCCCAACAAUUUUUUUCCUUUUAAUAAAUGUUUAAACUAUACACGAUAUAAGAACAUUUAAACUUUUC